RNAcentral lists this long non-coding RNA (6280 nucleotides) under Nicotiana tabacum (common tobacco). RNAcentral describes it as "long non-coding RNA (NTAB_LNC003496)". The record is from RNAcentral. Lineage: Eukaryota; Viridiplantae; Streptophyta; Magnoliopsida; Solanales; Solanaceae.
GGAAAAAAAACAAAUGCUAUGAGAGUGCACUGACACUGCUCCUCUGUACUUGCAUUAAAGCAACAUAUACAAUUCCUUAAACAUAAAUUCCCAGUAGAUUUACAGAUAGUUUCGGUUUUGGGGUGCUUAGUUCGUUGACAGUUGAUGAACAUAACUGAAAACAAUCUUCAAAUGAUUAUUUAGACGAAAAAGCGGAGAAACAGAUGGGCAAAGAGAUGUCACUUCUAUUACAGCCACGAUGCCUAGUGAUCUUCUUUGUGGCUUUAGUUCUCGUCUUUAUUGCUUCCUCUCUCUGGCUAAAGGUACUCUUACAUUUUCUUUUAUUGCAGCCCAUUUCGAGAAUAGUCUCUAUUUAUAGAUCUCAUUGGGGGUCUCCGAAUAUUCUACGAACUGAAAUGUUUCUCCAAUUAUUCCUUCUGCCGGGACCUAUUGUUUUAGGUACUGCCUACACUGGCACCUGUGUUUGGUGUUAAAUGUGUAAGGUUAUUUAACAUAGGGGUUCAUCGGAACUACUCCUGUUUCAAAUUACUUUCCUUUUUAGUUUGUUCCAGAAUAAAUGACACGCUCUAAAUUUGGAAAUAAUUCAAUUUUAAACUCUUCAUUUUAUUAAUUUUAUCCUUAACGAGAAGCUUUUAUAACCACACAAAUCUUAUGGCCCCACAAAACUUUUACCCCACAAGUUUCAAAAGUUUUUCUUUUUUCUUAAAUUCCGUGUCAAGUCAAACUAGAGUAGUAAUUUAAGGACUUUGUAUACUCCCUCCGUUCCAAUUUAUGUGAACAUGUUUGACUGCACGAAAUUUAAGAAAAAAUGAUGAUUUUUGAAAUUUGUGGUCCUAAACAAGUCAAAAAAGGGACCCAGAGUAUUUGUGUGGUUAUAAAAGCUUAUUAUUAAGGAUAUUGUUAUAAGUUUAAGCAAAAUUGUUUCCAAAUUUAGAAAAUGGUCAUUUUUUUUUGAACGGACCAAAAAGGAAAUAUGUUCAUAUAAACUGAAACGGAGGGAGUAUGUGCUAAAAAGUUUAACUAAAUAAGUACAAAUAAUUGAUUUCGAAUCAAGCAUGUCAAAUGAGUCGUGGUAGAAUUUUAAACAGGAACCCAUAAAGUUCAAAUCAUGAGUCCGCUUAGGGCUCGGGUGUGAGGGAGGAAAUGAGGCCGAAUAGAGCGAAUAUGGAGGAUACGUAUAUUGUGAAUCCAAACUAGUUUGGGAUUGAGACGUUGAUUGAUUGAUUGGUUUUUGGAUAGAUAAGUGACCCAAUUCCCUAUUUCAAGCUUAGGCUAUCACUUUCCUGCUGAACAUUUGAAAUUGAUUCAAGGGACCUAAUAGAUGAAGCACUACGCAAGUUUGUUAGAUAAAAUGCCUUUUAUUCUUUGGUCUUUCUCUUAAUGCAUUGAAGCACAGAAAAUUUCUAGUCUUUUUUGUUUCUCCACUUGUAACAACUCAUCCAUCUUGUUCUCCAAAGAACAGUUUCAAAGUCGUACGAUCAUUGUCUUUGAGGACCAAGAUGGGCUUCUAAAGUGACUUUACAACUAGUAAGGUGGUUAGGAGUAGGGGUGUCAAAUGAGCGUGUUGGAGCGAUUUUGGGCUGGUCAUGCGGGUCAAAUGACCCGCCCAAAAGUUAUUUGGGUUGAGAUAGACUGGAUCAAGAUGGGCUAAAAUUUGGGUCAUAGCCCAACCCGUCCAACUCUUACCAAACUUUAAUUAAUAUAUGUUAUUUUCUUAUGAAUUGUAUAAUUACUAAAAAAAAAAAUUUUCUUUUGUUAUUGUCAUAUAUAACAUAUCAAACAAAAAAGAACUAUUUCUAAGAUAUUUUGGCAAAGGUACUCAUGGAUCAAUUUGGGCUAAAAAUUAGCCCAAUUUUAAAUGGGUUAAGAUGAGUUUGGUCAAGAUAAACUGAGUUCAAUAAAUGAGUGAGUUAAUAACCAGUCCAACUUUGGGCGGGUUGAGCGGAUUAUUUGGGCUUGGGCCAAAUUUGACCGCCCUAGUUAGAAGGAGUACUAUAAAAAAAAAUUGGGUGAAAUUCAAAAAUAGCCAAAUUUACAAGUGGUCAUUCAAAAAUAGCCACACUUUCAAAAGUAAUCGAAAUUUAUCCACUUUUCAUGUAAAGAUAAAUCUUAACGAAAAUGCUGUUCAAAAUCCGGAAAAUAUUCCAGUAUAUUAUACUGGAGUUCCAGCAUAAGUAUACUGGAACUCCAGCAUAAUAUAAUGGAGUUCCAGCAUAAGUAUACUGGAACUCCAGCAUAAUAUACUGGAGUUUCAGCAAAGUAUACCGGUCCAGUAUAAUAUGCUGGAAAUUCAUACACAGGUGCUCGAAUCUCCAGUAUAUUAUGCUGGAACUUUUCACGUGUUGGAGUUCCAGCUAAUAUGCCGAAAGUUCAUACAUAGGUGCACCGAACUCCAGUAUAUUAUGCUGGAUCGGUCUCUGUUGCACCAAAAUAGUGGCUAUUUUUCAAUAACUUGACAAACGCUAGCUAUUUUUGAAUGACCGUCCGAAAACUGGCUAGCCCAUGCUACUUUUACAGAACAAUUGGUACUCAUUUGGACGAGCAUUUGAGUUGAAGUUGAGAAAAGAGUAUUUGAAGUUAAAGUUAAAAACAAAAUUAGUUGAAGUUGUGAGCUUCACUUGUUAAAAGAAAUUUUUCGAAGUUGAAGAUUGUGAGUGGAAACCAAUAUAUCACUUGAAAUACACCCACACAUCAGGAUUUCAACAAUUCACUUCUAGAGUUCUAGUUCAAAUACUGAAGUUCAGUAUUUGCAGAUACUCUUGCCCGAACUAGUAAUACUGAACUUCAGCAUUUGUAAAUACUGAAAUACUGAUCUAUGCUCAAACAUGCCCUAGUCAUGUUACAAUUAACAAUGCUUGGAAACCUGCUGCCUCCUUCUCCUAAAUGAUUGGUGGGUAAUCAGCACAUCGUCUUUCUUUAUGAAGCAAGUUGGUUUUGGAUCUGAAAUAGUAGCAACAACGGGACAAUGAAUUUGUUUCAAGCUAACUGAAAGAGGAUGGGAUUUAUUUGGGACUUCAUUGGAUGAGCCUUAAAUUGAAACAACAUUGAGUUUUAGGCUAGUUAGAGUCUUGAUAGGCAAUGCAAGCUUGUUGGGCUAUGUAAAGGUGUUUUAUGUUACUGAAAAGCAAAGGGGAUUCAGAUGUAGUUAUUUAUCAAAAAAGUUAUAAAUAUUCUGGAUGUAGUUGAUGUCGGCUCUGAGAACUGAAAAGAAAAUGAGGAGCAGGAGGAGGAAUAAAAGAGAUUCUUUGGACAAACAAAUGCUGAGGCUUAGAAUGUAUUUGCAGAUUGAGAAGUCCUAUAACUUGGUAGUAUGCUAAAAAGAUGAUAGGCUGAAUAUAAACCUCAAUUAAAAGGAGUGAAGUUUGGUCCUGCAUCAUAUGCUCUAUGACUGGAUUUUUGCUAUUUAAUUUCAUUUUGUAACAUUCAAUAUCAAACAAAAAAUAAUUCAUUUUGUAACAUUGUUUUCCUCUCUGUUGAAUCGGUUUAGAUUUUCAGGAUUUAGAAUGGUUGUGGAGGAUUGUAUUAGUGACUCAAAGUUAAAGAGGUUUAUGAAACUUAUGAGAGAUAGCUAGUAUUCUCACACAUGUACCGGAAUUUAAAAGUUUUUAAUAUCUAAUGAAUGAGAAGCUGAUGCUAUAUAACCUCAUCUUAUAUAUGAGUUUCAAACCCAUACCAGGAGUUAAAAUUCUGGUGGUCAAGAUUGGACUUUUGUUUCAUGACUCAUGAGUCUCAUUUAAAAGUUUUUCAAUUUUUCUCAUGUUAAAUUUCUAAGAGAAUGCUUUUUUUUAAACUAGUGAUGUAUGUUUUUUGCUCUAGUGGUUCACUAAGCAUUGACCUUAAUUUCCUCUUUAAUUUCUCAGGGAGAACAACGUAUAGGUAUGGAUGUUUGUGCUUGAUGUUUUACUUUAUUAGUUUUCAUUGGCUUAAUGAAUCUUAGAUGUACAAUGCACCACAUUGAGUUGUCUGUUUUAUUUUUUCCUUUUGGGGAUUAGCAAUUAUUAGGCAUCUUUCCUAGUAUAUGCCUUAUUCAUGCUUGAAUCAUUUCUUGGUUUACGGGAAAAGGAAAAUGGUUUUGUUUGCAGAAAUCGUCGGAUAUGUCACCAUUUUAAUGGCAUACAUCAGCAUGGCUAGUGUUGAUUUAGUAGGCUCGUUAUAAGAUUGGUGUCCUUCCUGGCUUGGCUAUCUAGAUUAUAUGAUGAGCAGGAAAGCUGGUUGAUAUAUCUUUUACUGCCGGAGGAAUUUUUCAUUAAAGAUAAUUUUGUUUCAACUCUAAAUUACAUGGUAUCUCAUAUUUGGAUGAUAAACUUGCAAGAUUCAAGAAAGAAAGAUGGAUAAUUAACUGUUUCUUUGAGAAUACCAUCAUCCCAAAACUUUUCGCAGUCUCUGAAUAUUGGUGAAGUAAGGUUUGUGAGAGCAACGGUUAAGUUGUCUCCAUGUGACCUAUAGGUCACGGGUUCGAGCCAUGGAAUCAGCCACUGAUGCUUGCAUUAGGGUAGUCUGCCUACAUUAUACCCUCUUGGUACGGUUCUUCCCCGGACCCUGCGUGAACGUGGGAUACUUUGUGCACCGGACUGCCCCUUUUAAGGUUUGUCAGAGCAAUGGUGUACUUUUGUUGUUUGUAGUCUGGUAGAGAAUCACGAAGGACAUGAGAUAUUUUUUAACAUAAACUCUCGAACUAAUAGGCCUUUUAUGUGUAGUUGCUUCUACCCCAGCUUCGUGUAUCCUCUGCAAAAGUUGAAUCAUUGGAAGGGUGCUUCAUAAUUACCUAAAGAGGCAUUGUAAGAAUUAAGAAAUCGAAGCUAUAAAAUCUUUCUCAGUGCUGGUUAGUUGAUAAAAAAUGAUAAGUUUCUGAUCCAUGAGAUAGUGUGAUUUUGUUGUUGGCGGAACAUGAAAGUGCUGAUGGUGUUGGAGAUCCUUCUGAUGGUGUGAAGAGUCCUUCUGGCUGGAGCUAUAGAAGUGUUGAGAUGAUGUAUAUCUAUCGAAUGAUUGCACCCCAAUAGGUUAGGGAGGGAGGGAUUAUGUGCCAACACUCCCCUUUACGGUCACCAUAGCACAAGAAAAGUAAAAGUUCUCUCACUAAACCAUUCUUAUGCUAAAUUUUUUGGUCAACACCUAUUUUAUUUGGAUCAUUCAGAAUCGCCCACCGCACUUGUGUCUAACUGAUAUAACUUAGGUGUAGUGGCAUACGCACCACAUUUAGUAAAUUCAUGUUGGGUAUGUUGGCUACAACUAUAAUACAGGAAGCAUAGAUUGACUGAGCUUUCGGUUCCGAUUAUAAGGUUUAUAUAGUAUGUAUAUGUGUGUGGGUAUGCUUUGCGCGUCUGUGUAUAUGUGUGUGUGUAUACACAUACAUUUAUAUGCACAUAUACAUAAAGUAUUAGAAAGUUUACCUAUUGGAUGAGAUAUACGUAUGGACUAAAGUAUCAGAUAGUGAAAAGAUUCUUUUAAAAAUAUUUGUUUUCUUUCAAUGACUUUUAAUUCCUUGGUGUUUUAUACGCUUUAGUGUCUUUUGUGUUGGGAUUUUGCAUUUGGUUGUGUUGAAUUGUUAAUGAUAGUGAAUUGAUAUUGGGAACGGGUUGUGCGCCGCAACAGAAUGAAACUAAAUUGAUAAAGGAAACGGGUUGUAUGCCGCAAAAGAUAUUGAUAUGCUAUUGGGAUCGGGUUGCACGUCGCUACAGAUAUUGACAUGAUAUUAGGACCGGGUUACGCGCCGCAACGGGGUAUGAUGUAUUGUGACUGUUUGUAGCUGUGGUGUUCAAAUAUUGUACUGUGAUAUGAGGAUUAUGAGAUGAUGUUAUUCUGAGGCCUUCUGUUAGUUGAACUUUGGGUCUCGUUCUAUGAGUUUAUCCGUUUUCUCUAUAUUUCUAUUGUCUUUUAUUUACUAUUCGUACAGGUUUACAAUGAGUGUCUUAUCAUAACCACGUCACUGCUUCGUCGAGGUUAGGCUCGGCACUUGCUGAGUACAUGGGGUCAGUUGUAAUCAUAUUUUACUUCUGCACUUCUUGUGCAGAUCCCGGUGUUGGUCCUAGCAGCGAAUAGAGAAGACUGCUCGUAUCAUAUCUAUUCAGAAAACUUGAGGUAGAGCUGCACGGUGUUCGCAGUCCAUGGAGUCUCCACCUUGUUUGUUUUACUGUUUAUCUUGUCUCAAACAGUUGUAUUUCAUUUCAGAUCAUGUUUGUAGUAUUCUAGUUGCUCAUGUACUUAUGACUCCGGAUUUCUGGGAUUUAUGGAGAUCGCGUUACUUAUGGAUUUAUAUAUAUAUCAGAGCAUUUCAUUCGUU